ACUACGGGAGGCUGCAGUGGGGAAUAUUGCACAAUGGGGGAAACCCUGAUGCAGCGACGCCGCGUGAGUGAAGAAGUACUUCGUUAUGUAAAGCUCUAUUUGCAGGGAAGAAAAUGACGGUACCUGAGUAAGAAGCUCCGUCUAACUACGUGCCAGCAGCCGCGGUAAUACGGAGGGGGCAAGCGUUAUCCGGAUUUACUGGGUGUAAAGGGAGCGUAGACGGCAGUGCAAGUCUGGAGUGAAAGGCGGGGGCUCAACCCCCGGACUGCUCUGGAAACUGUACGGCUGGAGUGCAGGAGAGGUAAGUGGAAUUCGUGGUGUAGCGGUGAAAUGCGUAGAUAUUAGGAGGAACACCGGUGGCGAAGGCGGCUUACUGGACUGUAACUGACGUUGAGGCUCGAAAGCGUGGGGAGCAAACAGGAUUAGAUACCCGAGUAGUC
This 440-nucleotide ribosomal RNA is filed under the name uncultured bacterium. Its description in RNAcentral is "partial 16S ribosomal RNA". It matches the Rfam family "Bacterial small subunit ribosomal RNA", at positions 338 to 795 of the family's 1533-position model. The record is from RNAcentral.